GUUUUUGUAUGGAAGUGAAGAAGGAAAUACAAGAAAGGAUGGGUGCUUCUUUUCUACCCUUUAACCUUGAACCCAACCUUUCUCCUGUGGUUCAGGAAUAAGGGUAAUAUACGCCGACUAAGCCAGCGUAAGGAUUGGUAUUGCCGCUCAAUUCGCAGCUCUUCUAAACGUGGAUGAUGAAGCAAAUGAACUUCAACAGCAGCUCCAACAGCAGCCCCUAGACGAACCUGAUGCCAUUGAUCUUCUGCGUAAAACUUGGGUCAAGCUCCAAACGAACCAAAAGUUCCUGGAAAAAAAUUUACGCAUCAAAUU
Molecule: long non-coding RNA, 312 nt
Organism: Coccinella septempunctata (seven-spotted ladybird)
Lineage: Eukaryota; Metazoa; Arthropoda; Insecta; Coleoptera; Coccinellidae
Exons: 2
Source: RefSeq, a predicted model, not a curated record